This is a long non-coding RNA of Lycium ferocissimum, 552 nucleotides long. RefSeq lists it as uncharacterized. The transcript is spliced from 2 exons. Lineage: Eukaryota; Viridiplantae; Streptophyta; Magnoliopsida; Solanales; Solanaceae. The record is from RefSeq and is a predicted model, not a curated record.
AAAAGCCAAGUUUCUAAAUUGGUAAAGUAUCCAACAGAGAACUCAUUCAAGCUCCAUUCUCGAAAGCUCCGAUGGUCUCUAUCUGUGAAAUCCACGAUCUGAAUGAAGCAUUUCUUUUCGUGCAAGCUCGCAAAAAGCUUUUGGAAGCUCGAAUUUGAUGGGUACUGCUGCUGUAGUUGAUGUGUGUUGCAUCUUCUCGGUGUUCUUGAAUCUGGUGUUUCAUCUAUAAGGUGAAUCAGUUUGACACCUCUGUGGUGCAUCUGCUGAAGUUUGAUUAUCAUCAGGAGGUUUUUUAAGAGUCUAUUCUUCCACUGGGCUGCCACUUGCUUGUUCUCCACCAGUAUCCACUUGAUUUCCAUGUUGCAAAGAGUUCUUUUGAACCGCUGAAUCAUUUUCCACCUGUUGCUGCCUGCUGUAUUGUAUUGGACUUUCUUUGUCCAACAUAUUUCCUUAUUUUUCCUCCAUAUUUCUUUGUGGUUUUCUUUCUAUAUUUGAUGCUGCCCCUUGUUUGUGUUUCCUUGUUGUUCAAUUAUGUUUGCACUGUCACUCUUA